Molecule: ribosomal RNA, 482 nt
Filed under: uncultured bacterium
Lineage: Bacteria
Description: partial 16S ribosomal RNA
Rfam family: Bacterial small subunit ribosomal RNA
Source: RNAcentral
AUUGAACGCUGGCGGCAUGCCUUACACAUGCAAGUCGAACGGUAACAGGUCUUCGGAUGCUGACGAGUGGCGAACGGGUGAGUAAUACAUCGGAACGUGCCCGAUCGUGGGGGAUAACGGAGCGAAAGCUUUGCUAAUACCGCAUCCGAUCUACGGAUGAAAGCAGGGGACCGCAAGGCCUUGCGCGGACGGGGCGGCCGAUGGCAGAUUAGGUAGUUGGUGGGAUAAAAGCUUACCAAGCCGACGAUCUGUAGCUGGUCUGAGAGGACGACCAGCCACACUGGGACUGAGACACGGCCCAGACUCCUACGGGAGGCAGCAGUGGGGAAUUUUGGACAAUGGGCGAAAGCCUGAUCCAGCCAUGCCGCGUGCAGGAUGAAGGCCUUCGGGUUGUAAACUGCUUUUGUACGGAACGAAAAGACUCUUUCUAAUAAAGAGGGUCCAUGACGGUACCGUAAGAAUAAGCACCGGCUAACUACGUG